UUCCGCAAUGGACGAAAGUCUGACGGAGCAACGCCGCGUGAGUGAUGACGGCCUUCGGGUUGUAAAGCUCUGUUAAUCGGGACGAAAGGCCUUCUUGCGAAUAGUUAGAAGGAUUGACGGUACCGGAAUAGAAAGCCACGGCUAACUACGUGCCAGCAGCCGCGGUAAUACGUAGGUGGCAAGCGUUGUCCGGAAUUAUUGGGCGUAAAGCGCGCGCAGGCGGAUAGGUCAGUCUGUCUUAAAAGUUCGGGGCUUAACCCCGUGAUGGGAUGGAAACUGCCAAUCUAGAGUAUCGGAGAGGAAAGUGGAAUUCCUAGUGUAGCGGUGAAAUGCGUAGAUAUUAGGAAGAACACCAGUGGCGAAGGCGACUUUCUGGACGAAAACUGACCGCUGAGGCGCGAAAGCCAGGGGGAGCGAACGGGAUUAGAUACCCCGGUAGUCCUGGCCGUAAACGAUGGGUACUAGGUGUAGGAGGUAUCGACCCCUUCUGUGCCGGAGUUAACGCAAUAAGUACCCCGCCUGGGGAGUACGACCGCAAGGUUGAAACUCAAAGGAAUUGACGGGGGCCCGCACAAGCGGUGGAGUAUGUGGUUUAAUUCGA
Molecule: ribosomal RNA, 601 nt
Filed under: Veillonella dispar
Lineage: Bacteria; Bacillati; Bacillota; Negativicutes; Veillonellales; Veillonellaceae
Description: bacterial SSU rRNA
Rfam family: Bacterial small subunit ribosomal RNA
Source: RNAcentral